RNAcentral lists this ribosomal RNA (629 nucleotides) under uncultured bacterium. RNAcentral describes it as "bacterial SSU rRNA". It matches the Rfam family "Bacterial small subunit ribosomal RNA", at positions 230 to 859 of the family's 1533-position model. The record is from RNAcentral.
CAUGCGUGACAUUAGCUAGUUGGUGAGGUAACGGCCCACCAAGGCUACGAUGUCUAGGGGUUCUGAGAGGAAGAUCCCCCACACUGGUACUGAGACACGGACCAGACUCCUACGGGAGGCAGCAGUGAGGAAUAUUGGUCAAUGGGCGAGAGCCUGAACCAGCCAUCCCGCGUGCAGGAAGAAUGCCCUAUGGGUUGUAAACUGCUUUUUCGCAUGAAGAACAUUCCGCUCGUGAGCGGAACUGACGGUAAUGCGUGAAUAAGCACCGGCUAACUCCGUGCCAGCAGCCGCGGUAAUACGGAGGGUGCAAGCGUUAUCCGGAUUUAUUGGGUUUAAAGGGUGCGUAGGCGGCAAUUUAAGUCAGUGGUGAAAUCCUGCAGCUCAACUGUAGAACAGCCAUUGAAACUGAAUUACUUGAGUAAUCUUGAGGUAGGCGGAAUGUGUAGUGUAGCGGUGAAAUGCUUAGAUAUUACACAGAACACCGAUUGCGAAGGCAGCUUACUAAGGAUUUACUGACGCUGAUGCACGAAAGCGUGGGGAUCAAACAGGAUUAGAUACCCUGGUAGUCCACGCCGUAAACGAUGAUAACUCGCUGUUGGCGAUACACAGUCAGCGGCUUAGCGAAAGCG